UGGGGAAUUUUGGACAAUGGGCGAAAGCCUGAUCCAGCAAUGCCGCGUGUGUGAAGAAGGCCUUCGGGUUGUAAAGCACUUUUGUCCGGAAAGAAAUCCUUGGCUCUAAUACAGUCGGGGGAUGACGGUGCCGGAAGAAUAAGCACCGGCUAACUACGUGCCAGCAGCCGCGGUAAUACGUAGGGUGCAAGCGUUAAUCGGAAUUACUGGGCGUAAAGCGUGCGCAGGCGGUUUGCUAAGACCGAUGUGAAAUCCCCGGGCUCAACCUGGGAACUGCAUUGGUGACUGGCAGGCUAGAGUAUGGCAGAGGGGGGUAGAAUUCCACGUGUAGCAGUGAAAUGCGUAGAGAUGUGGAGGAAUACCGAUGGCGAAGGCAGCCCCCUGGGCCAAUACUGACGCUCAUGCACGAAAGCGUGGGGAGCAAACAGGAUUAGAUACCCUGGUAGUCCACGCCCUAAACGAUGUCAACUAGUUGUUGGGGAUUCAUUUCCUUAGUAACGUAGCUAACGCGUGAAGUUGACCGCCUGGGGAGUACGGUCGCAAGAUUAAAACUCAAAGGAAUUGACGGGGUCAUAGCUGUUUCCUG
Molecule: ribosomal RNA, 586 nt
Filed under: uncultured bacterium
Lineage: Bacteria
Description: partial 16S ribosomal RNA
Rfam family: Bacterial small subunit ribosomal RNA
Source: RNAcentral